AAUGUGGAAUUCGCCCUUGUGCCAGCCGCCGCUGGUAAUACGUAGGUGGCAAGCGUUUUCCGGAAUUAUUGGGCGUAAAGGGCUCGCAGGCGGUUUCUUAAGUCUGAUGUGAAAGCCCCCGGCUCAACCGGGGAGGGUCAUUGGAAACUGGGGAACUUGAGUGCAGAAGAGGAGAGUGGAAUUCCACGUGUAGCGGUGAAAUGCGUAGAGAUGUGGAGGAACACCAGUGGCGAAGGCGACUCUCUGGUCUGUAACUGACGCUGAGGAGCGAAAGCGUGGGGAGCGAACAGGAUUAGAUACCCUGGUAGUCCACGCCGUAAACGAUGAGUGCUAAGUGUUAGGGGGUUUCCGCCCCUUAGUGCUGCAGCUAACGCAUUAAGCACUCCGCCUGGGGAGUACGGUCGCAAGACUGAAACUCAAAGGAAUUGACGGGGGCCCGCACAAGCGGUGGAGCAUGUGGUUUAAUUCGAAGCAACGCGAAGAACCUUACCAGGUCUUGACAUCCUCUGACAAUCCUAGAGAUAGGACGUCCCCUUCGGGGGCAGAGUGACAGGUGGUGCAUGGUUGUCGUCAGCUCGUGUCGUGAGAUGUUGGGUUAAGUCCCGCAACGAGCGCAACCCUUGAUCUUAGUUGCCAGCAUUCAGUUGGGCACUCUAAGGUGACUGCCGGUGACAAACCGGAGGAAGGUGGGGAUGACGUCAAAUCAUCAUGCCCCUUAUGACCUGGGCUACACACGUGCUACAAUGGACAGAACAAAGGGCAGCGAAACCGCGAGGUUAAGCCAAUCCCACAAAUCUGUUCUCAG
RNAcentral lists this ribosomal RNA (805 nucleotides) under uncultured bacterium. Its description in RNAcentral is "bacterial SSU rRNA". It matches the Rfam family "Bacterial small subunit ribosomal RNA", at positions 481 to 1291 of the family's 1533-position model. The record is from RNAcentral.